Molecule: unclassified non-coding RNA, 1355 nt
Filed under: uncultured Neocallimastigales
Lineage: Eukaryota; Fungi; Neocallimastigomycota; Neocallimastigomycetes; Neocallimastigales
Description: partial contains internal transcribed spacer 1, 5.8S ribosomal RNA, internal transcribed spacer 2, and large subunit ribosomal RNA
Rfam family: Eukaryotic large subunit ribosomal RNA (bases 596-1355)
Source: RNAcentral
AAAAUAAUCCUACCCUUUGUGAAUUUUGUUUGUUUGAAUAAUUUUUUUUUUUUAAAAAAUUAUUGGAGUCUUUCCCUUUAGAGUUUGCUUUUGAGUUUGUAAAAGAAUUCGAAAACAUCUAAAGGGGAUGGUCAAUAAUUUUUUUUGAAAAAAGACAUUUUUUAAAAUUAAACUUUUUGUAUUCACUUGUCUAAAAAUUAUUUUUAUAAUAUAAAAACAACUUUUGACAAUGGAUCUCUUGGUUCUCGCAACGAUGAAGAACGCAGCAAAAUGCGAUAAGUAGUGUGAAUUGCAGAAUACGUGAAUCAUCGAAUCUUUGAACGCAUAUUGCACUUUUUUAGUUUACUAAAAAAGUAUGUCUGUUUGAGUAUCAGUAAAAUAUUCUCAUAAAAAUCAUUGUAUUUUUAUGGUUAUGAGUGUUUUACAACGAUACAAGUUGUUUCACUUUAAAUUUUUUUUUAAUAUUGAAAUUUUUCUAAUUUUAAUAAUUAAAAUUGGAUAAAAUUUUCCCGUCAAAAGGAAUAACCUAAACAAUUUUAAACGAUUAAUUUUAGCAAAAUUUUCGUAAAAAAGGAAAAUUUUUAUUAAAAUAACUUGAUCUCGAAUCAGAUAAGAGUACCCGCUGAACUUAAGCAUAUCAAUAAGCGGAGGAAAAGAAACUAACAAGGAUUCCCUUAGUAACGGCGAGUGAAGCGGGAAGAGCUCAAAUUUGAAAUCUUCAAGGUUUUACCUUGACGAAUUGUAGUUUAAAGAAGUGUUUUCUGCUGAAGUUUUGGUAAAAGUUCUUUGGAAUAGGACAUCAUAGAGGGUGAGAAUCUCGUAUUUGACCAUUAUUUUCAGCUUUGUGAUACACUUUCAAAGAGUCGGAUUGUUUGGGAAUGCAGUCCAAAAUGGGUGGUAAAUUUCAUCUAAAGCUAAAUAUUGGCGAGAGACCGAUAGCGAACAAGUACCGUGAGGGAAAGAUGAAAAGAACUUUGAAAAGAGAGUUAAACAGUACGUGAAAUUGUCAAAAGGGAAGCGUUUGACACCAGUGUUGUUUUCUCGAAAAUCAAUUAAAAAUGGCUCGAUUUUGUAUUGCGGAGACCUUAAAAGCUCACUGUACAUUUUUCGUGUCUUUUUUAAUGCACUUUUCGUUUAACAAGUCAACAUCAGUUUCUUUUGUUGUAAAAGGGUCAUUGGAAGGUGGCUUUCUUUUCGGAGAAAGUGUUUAUAGCCUUUGGCCUCUGCAAUCGAAGAGACUGAGGUCUGCAGCGUAGACUCUUCGGGGUUAGAUACAUUUGUGCUAAGUUAUAGCUUUUUAUAGACAACUUGUUGACUAUAAUUAGUCUUGUAGCUUACUCGCUUAUGCUAUUUUA